This 479-nucleotide ribosomal RNA is filed under the name Bacillus licheniformis. RNAcentral describes it as "bacterial SSU rRNA". It matches the Rfam family "Bacterial small subunit ribosomal RNA", at positions 55 to 515 of the family's 1533-position model. Lineage: Bacteria; Bacillati; Bacillota; Bacilli; Caryophanales; Bacillaceae. The record is from RNAcentral.
AUGCAAGUCGAGCGGACAGAUGGGAGCUUGCUCCCUGAUGUUAGCGGCGGACGGGUGAGUAACACGUGGGUAACCUGCCUGUAAGACUGGGAUAACUCCGGGAAACCGGGGCUAAUACCGGAUGCUUAAUUGAACCGCAUGGUUCAAUUAUAAAAGGUGGCUUUUAGCUACCACUUACAGAUGGACCCGCGGCGCAUUAGCUAGUUGGUGAGGUAACGGCUCACCAAGGCAACGAUGCGUAGCCAACCUGAGAGGGUGAUCGGCCACACUGGGACUGAAACACGGCCCAAACUCCUACGGGAGGCAGCAGUAGGGAAUCUUCCGCAAUGGACAAAAGUCUGACGGACCAACGCCGCGUGAGUGAUGAAGGUUUUCGGAUCGUAAAACUCUGUUGUUAGGGAAAAACAAGUACCGUUCGAAUAGGGCGGUACCUUGACGGUACCUAACCAGAAAGCCACGGCUAACUACGUGCCAGCAGC